UUGAGAGUUUGAUUCUGGCUCAGAACGAACGCUGGCGGCAGGCUUAACACAUGCAAGUCGAACGAUAUAGUGGCAGACGGGUGAGUAACGCGUGGGAACGUGCCUAUUGGUUCGGAAUAGCCCCGGGAAACUGGGUUUAAUACCGAAUGUGCCCUUCGGGGGAAAGAUUUAUCGCCAAUAGAUCGGCCCGCGUUAGAUUAGCUAGUUGGUGAGGUAAAAGCUUACCAAGGCUACGAUCUAUAGCUGGUCUGAGAGGAUGAUCAGCCACACUGGGACUGAGACACGGCCCAGACUCCUACGGGAGGCAGCAGUGGGGAAUCUUGCACAAUGGGCGAAAGCCUGAUGCAGCCAUGCCGCGUGAAUGAUGAAGGCCUUAGGGUUGUAAAAUUCUUUCGCUAGGGAUGAUAAUGACAGUACCUAGUAAAGAAGCCCCGGCUAACUUCGUGCCAGCAGCCGCGGUAAUACGAAGGGGGCUAGC
Molecule: ribosomal RNA, 478 nt
Filed under: Tripos fusus
Lineage: Eukaryota; Dinophyceae; Gonyaulacales; Ceratiaceae
Description: partial Bacterial small subunit ribosomal RNA
Rfam family: Bacterial small subunit ribosomal RNA
Source: RNAcentral